This 253-nucleotide ribosomal RNA is filed under the name uncultured bacterium. RNAcentral's name for it is "partial 16S ribosomal RNA". It matches the Rfam family "Bacterial small subunit ribosomal RNA", at positions 524 to 776 of the family's 1533-position model. The record is from RNAcentral.
UACGAAGGAUGCAAGCGUUAUCCGGAUUUAUUGGGUUUAAAGGGUGCGUAGGCGGACUUAUAAGUCAGUGGUGAAAUCUCGUUGCUUAACAACGAACGUGCCAUUGAUACUGUAGGUCUUGAGUACAGAUGCCGUUGGCGGAAUGUGACAUGUAGCGGUGAAAUGCAUAGAUAUGACACAGAACACCGAUUGCGAAGGCAGCUGACGAAACUGUAACUGACGCUGAGGCACGAAAGCGUGGGGAUCAAACAGG